This 71-nucleotide transfer RNA is filed under the name Ovis aries (sheep). It matches the Rfam family "tRNA". Rfam says of the family: Transfer RNA (tRNA) molecules are approximately 80 nucleotides in length. Their secondary structure includes four short double-helical elements and three loops (D, anti-codon, and T loops). Further hydrogen bonds mediate the characteristic L-shaped molecular structure. tRNAs have two regions of fundamental functional importance: the anti-codon, which is responsible for specific mRNA codon recognition, and the 3' end, to which the tRNAs corresponding amino acid is attached (by aminoacyl-tRNA synthetases). tRNAs cope with the degeneracy of the genetic code in two manners: having more than one tRNA (with a specific anti-codon) for a particular amino acid; and 'wobble' base-pairing, i.e. permitting non-standard base-pairing at the 3rd anti-codon position. The record is from Rfam by way of RNAcentral. Lineage: Eukaryota; Metazoa; Chordata; Mammalia; Artiodactyla; Bovidae.
UCCCUCAUGGCUUAGACGGUAAAGCGUCUGCCUACAAUGCGGGAGACCCGGGUUCAAUCCCUGGGUCGGAA